RNAcentral lists this ribosomal RNA (562 nucleotides) under Peterozyma toletana. RNAcentral describes it as "LSU rRNA". It matches the Rfam family "Eukaryotic large subunit ribosomal RNA", at positions 63 to 638 of the family's 3401-position model. Lineage: Eukaryota; Fungi; Ascomycota; Pichiomycetes; Alaninales; Pachysolenaceae. The record is from RNAcentral.
AAACAACAGGGAUUACCUUAGUAACGGCGAGUGAAGCGGUAAGAGCUCAAAUUUGAAAUCUAGCACUUUCAGUGUUCGAGUUGUAAUUUGAAGAAGGUAACUUUGGAGUUGGCCCUUGUCUAUGUUCCUUGGAACAGGACGUCACAGAGGGUGAGAAUCCCGUGCGAUGGGGUGUCCAACUCUAUGUAAAGUGCUUUCGAAGAGUCGAGUUGUUUGGGAAUGCAGCUCUAAGUGGGUGGUAAAUUCCAUCUAAAGCUAAAUAUUGGCGAGAGACCGAUAGCGAACAAGUACAGUGAUGGAAAGAUGAAAAGAACUUUGAAAAGAGAGUGAAAAAGUACGUGAAAUUGUUGAAAGGGAAGGGCUUUAGAUCAGACUUGGUGUUUAGUACUCUUCACUCCUUGUGGGUGGGGCUCUUGCUUUAUACUGGGCCAGCAUCGGUUUGGAUGGUAGGAUAAUAGCAUUGGAACGUGGCUUCGCUUCGGUGGAGUGUUAUAGCCUUUGUUGAUACUACCUAUCUAGACCGAGGACUGCGUCUUUUGACUAGGAUGCUGGCAGUAAUGAU